GACCAUGUAGCUCAGUUGGCAGAGCAUUGGGCUAGUAUUCCAAAGGUCGUAGGUUCGAUUCCCACCGUGGCCG
This 73-nucleotide transfer RNA is filed under the name Paramuricea clavata. It matches the Rfam family "tRNA". Rfam says of the family: Transfer RNA (tRNA) molecules are approximately 80 nucleotides in length. Their secondary structure includes four short double-helical elements and three loops (D, anti-codon, and T loops). Lineage: Eukaryota; Metazoa; Cnidaria; Anthozoa; Malacalcyonacea; Plexauridae. The record is from Rfam by way of RNAcentral.